GAGUCUGAGUCGCUGCUUUUGCGCAUGCGCAGGGGCGUCACCAGCUACUCCAUUUUUGCGGCGGUGUGGUGUGUGGCCGCCUACAUUACAUGUUUUCUCGUUAAUGUGUGCUUCACUGCGUAGUUUGCAAGGCACCUGACUGAUUGCAAGCAACAGUGUGUGUCUUCUGUAUCCUGUCUCACUGUAAAGGUGCACCAUGAGUAACACAAGGGAUGAUGAGUAUGACUAUUUGUUCAAAGUUGUUCUAAUUGGAGACUCAGGUGUGGGAAAGAGUAACCUGCUUUCAAGAUUCACAAGAAAUGAAUUUAACUUAGAGUCAAAGUCUACCAUUGGUGUGGAAUUCGCCACUAGGAGUAUAUCAGUUGAUGGAAAGACGAUAAAAGCACAGAUUUGGGACACUGCCGGCCAGGAGAGGUAUAGGGCCAUCACAUCAGCCUACUACCGGGGUGCAGUGGGGGCGCUGCUCGUCUACGACAUCGCCAAGCACCUGACGUACGAGAACGUGGAGCGCUGGCUGCGGGAGCUGCGCGACCACGCCGACCAGAACAUUGUCAUCAUGCUCGUAGGUAACAAGUCGGAUCUGCGACACCUGCGAGCCGUGCCGACCGACGAGGCCAAGGCCUUCGCCGAGCGCAACACGCUCAGCUUCAUCGAGACCUCGGCUCUGGACUCGACCAACGUCGAAACGGCCUUCCAGAACAUUCUCACAGAGAUAUACCGGAUCGUCUCGCAGAAACAGAUCCGCGAGCCGGCUGACGAAGACUCGCCCACCCACAACGUCAAGUCGAUUCACGUGGAGCCCACGGUCAAUACGGAUAACGUGCGCCGGCAGUGCUGCCAGAACUAGCCGGCGCGCGCGCCGCCGCCGCUGCCGCCGGCCGCCGCGGCUCCGCCACGCGACAGAAAUCUACCGAAUCAUGUCGCAGAAGCAGAUACCGGACCACGGUGACGACGCGCCGCGCCCCUCCUCGGCUGGACCCAUCACCAUCGAGCCCACCGACGACUCGGGCCCCGGCAGGAAGCAGUGCUGCUAGUGCGCCCGCCGCCCGCCGCCCCGACAGCGAGCGGCCCCGACCGGCAAACACACCACACAACACACACACAUACACUGAUACACACAGACACACACGCGCGUGCGCGCCGAGCGGCUUUUUUACAGCUAUUUAUUGGAGGCAAUUGUGAUAUAUUGCUACGCGUUCGGCCUCACGCCGCAAAAGUGUUGAAAAUUCAGCCGCCACUCUUCGCCGCCGGCCGCGAUGGCGCGGGCGCGGCGCCGCCGGUCCCCGCGGCCCACUCUCUUGUUAUAUGGCCCAUUCCGCCGCGCGAGGGGUUGUGUUUACUUGUGGUCGCGUAACCAGUCUUUUGUAUCCGUCGCGUUAGUGUCGCGCGCGCCUGCGCACGUGUCUAAAACAGUCCCUUGUUUAACCUGCCGGCGCGGCGGUCGCGCGCGCGCCGCCGUAUCUGCCAAAGUUUAGUUUGGGUACUGGGUAGAGGCGCCCUGCGCGCUGCCGGCGGCAGUGCCUGGCUGCGCUGCGCCCGGGCGGCUGUAAUAAGGCACGCCCGGCGCCCGGACGGCCUUGCCGCUUGUUGUGCCUUUAGUUGCGCGCGCGGGUGCCGGCGGGAGAGAGCCGGCACCGUGGCUACCGCCGUCUCUGUGCGCCGCGAGCGCGCUGGCAGUAGCUGUGAAACAGUUUCCGUAAACCAUGUUGAGACCUUAUUGAAUAAAAUAGUCAUAUCAA
This 1739-nucleotide unclassified non-coding RNA is filed under the name Amphibalanus amphitrite. RNAcentral describes it as "ras-related protein Rab-11A-like, transcript variant X2". Lineage: Eukaryota; Metazoa; Arthropoda; Thecostraca; Balanomorpha; Balanidae. The record is from RNAcentral.